RNAcentral lists this ribosomal RNA (253 nucleotides) under uncultured bacterium. RNAcentral describes it as "partial 16S ribosomal RNA". It matches the Rfam family "Bacterial small subunit ribosomal RNA", at positions 524 to 776 of the family's 1533-position model. The record is from RNAcentral.
UACGGAGGGUGCGAGCGUUGUCCGGAAUCAUUGGGCGUAAAGGGCGCGUAGGUGGCGCGGCAAGCGUGCGGUGAAAGCUCGGGGCUCAACCCCGAGUCGGCCGUGCGAACUGUUUGGCUGGAGCACUGUAGAGGCAGGCGGAAUUCCGGGUGUAGCGGUGGAAUGCGUAGAGAUCCGGAAGAACACCGGUGGCGAAGGCGGCCUGCUGGGCAGUUGCUGACACUGAGGCGCGACAGCGUGGGGAGCAAACAGG